RNAcentral lists this ribosomal RNA (301 nucleotides) under uncultured bacterium. RNAcentral describes it as "partial 16S ribosomal RNA". It matches the Rfam family "Bacterial small subunit ribosomal RNA", at positions 509 to 807 of the family's 1533-position model. The record is from RNAcentral.
CAGUAGCCGCGGGAAUACGAAGGGGGCUAGCGUUGUUCGGAAUUACUGGGCGUAAAGCGCACGUAGGCGGACAUUUAAGUCAGGGGUGAAAUCCCGGGGCUCAACCCCGGAACUGCCUUUGAUACUGGGUGUCUAGAGUAUGGAAGAGGUGAGUGGAAUUCCGAGUGUAGAGGUGAAAUUCGUAGAUAUUCGGAGGAACACCAGUGGCGAAGGCGGCUCACUGGUCCAUUACUGACGCUGAGGUGCGAAAGCGUGGGGAGCAAACAGGAUUAGAUACCCGUGUAGUCCCUGUCUCUUAUAC